Molecule: ribosomal RNA, 309 nt
Filed under: uncultured bacterium
Lineage: Bacteria
Description: bacterial SSU rRNA
Rfam family: Bacterial small subunit ribosomal RNA
Source: RNAcentral
GAUGAACGCUAGCGGCAGGCCUAACACAUGCAAGUCGAGGGGUAACAGGAGUAGCUUGCUACUUGCUGACGACCGGCGCACGGGUGCGUAACGCGUAUACAAUCUACCUUUUGCUGAGGGAUAGCCCAGAGAAAUUUGGAUUAAUACCUCAUGGUAUCAUAUUAUCGCAUGGUAAAAUGAUUAAAGGUUACGGCAAAAGAUGAGUAUGCGUCCUAUUAGCUAGAUGGUGUGGUAACGGCACACCAUGGCAACGAUAGGUAGGGGCCCUGAGAGGGGGAUCCCCCACACUGGUACUGAGACAUGGACCAG